RNAcentral lists this ribosomal RNA (253 nucleotides) under uncultured Streptococcus sp. RNAcentral describes it as "partial 16S ribosomal RNA". It matches the Rfam family "Bacterial small subunit ribosomal RNA", at positions 1133 to 1382 of the family's 1533-position model. Lineage: Bacteria; Bacillati; Bacillota; Bacilli; Lactobacillales; Streptococcaceae. The record is from RNAcentral.
GGGCACUCUAGCGAGACUGCCGGUAAUAAACCGGAGGGAAGGUGGGGGAGUGACGUCAAAUCAUCAUGCCCCUUAUGACCUGGGCUACACACGUGCUACAAUGGUUGGUACAACGAGUUGCGAGUCGGUGACGGCGAGCUAAUCUCUUAAAGCCAAUCUCAGUUCGGAUUGUAGGCUGCAACUCGCCUACAUGAAGUCGGAAUCGCUAGUAAUCGCGGAUCAGCACGCCGCGGUGAAUACGUUCCCGGGCCUU